UAAAAUCACGUUAUUUUUCUCUUGCAGAGAGAGAACACAUGUAAUUUACGAUACCAACCUGUGUAUCUCAGUAUCAAAUGGCAUGGGUGCUCCCAGGAGUGUGGAUGCAAGAGCUUUCCCCAGAUUCUGCAGAUUUUAUCGACGCACACAGUGGUGACUUAAAGUUGGUUGCCAAAACUUACCGGGAAGGCCAGGGGAAGUGGAGCCCUUCCUCUUUGGAAGGUGUGUGUUUGAUUUGGUGCUGCUGAGAUGCCAUGGUUACAGGCACUGCAGAAAACAAACCCCGAGCACCAGACAAUCUGGACCUACUAUCUAGGUCUUGGCACUUAAGGCUCUACUUUAUUGGAUUAAAUGACUUCUUGAAGCCAUAACUUCCUCAGCUGGUUCGAGCAAGGAUUGCCCAGACCCUGGCCUGGGGCACACCUGACAGGAGAUGUGCUGCUUGGCCCAGUUGUUUCCAUCUCCGGAGAAAAGAAGAUGAAGCCAAGCUAAGCUGCCUCUGGUGUUCCUGCAGCAGUGGAGAGGCUGCCUGGAGAGAGUGAGGACCAGCCCUGGAUGCCCCUGCUAAAGCCACUGAGCUCAGGCUGGCUCUGAAUGCUGCUGUGAGCCACAGGCUGGGCUGUGGCUGCCGCUGUCACAAUAAGGAACUGGGCUGUGGCUUCAGCUCCCUCUCAAGGGCCUUUUCCAGGGGUUCUGGCUGAGCAGGGUCCCAACACAGGGUAAGGGGUUGUGUGUGAACUGCCCUUGGAGUUAUACGGAGCUCUGAGCUAAGAGGGGAGAGCCAUCUAUCAAACAAGAUGUGAGACCUGAGAGAAAUUGAUAUAAACAAAUCUGGACUUAGGUUAGAGAGGUGCAGCCUCAGUCUGAGAGGUGUGUGGGGUGUUAGUUGUAGUGCAAGUGUCCUGGGCUUCAUUUACACUUCAACCCCCCAACCUCCCUCCCUAAAGUAGAAAGGUCACUACAGUGGCUCUCAGCUCCCCUUGCUCAGCUUGGUUUUGCUCCUCUCCUCCAGUUCAAAGGGAAUUCAGCACA
Long non-coding RNA from Catharus ustulatus (Swainson's thrush), 1032 nucleotides. RefSeq lists it as uncharacterized. The transcript has 6 exons. Lineage: Eukaryota; Metazoa; Chordata; Aves; Passeriformes; Turdidae. The record is from RefSeq and is a predicted model, not a curated record.